AACCAAAACAUCAAUGGUUGUCGUGGUCUCUAGCCCAAUGGGUACACACUGUGUGGCAGACAUGCAGGAUAUGGAUACAUGCGUGGCAGCCCACAUAGCGAUCUGCGUGGUGACAUGAUUCAAUAGUCUGUAUGUAUAGGUUGUUCGUGCGAUUGGGAGGAUGUCACGCAUGGAUCGUGAUUGAGCAACUGUGGGCGUUUAUCACCCAAGUUGAUCCAACGGUUGGGAAGUCACUUCAUACAGAUCAUGAUCCAAUGGUCCACAUGUGUCAUGAUUAUGCAGCUAAGAUUUAUUUUAAUCAAGAUCGUGAUCUAAUGGUCUGUGUGUGUCACAAUUGUGCGCCCAUGAUUCAUUUUCAUGCCGAUCAUGAUCUAACAACUAGGAUUGCUUUUUGCUCACCCAAUCGAACG
RNAcentral lists this long non-coding RNA (410 nucleotides) under Carica papaya (papaya). RNAcentral describes it as "long non-coding RNA (CPAP_LNC005118)". The record is from RNAcentral. Lineage: Eukaryota; Viridiplantae; Streptophyta; Magnoliopsida; Brassicales; Caricaceae.